This 2902-nucleotide ribosomal RNA is filed under the name Klebsiella pneumoniae. RNAcentral's name for it is "23S ribosomal RNA". It matches the Rfam family "Bacterial large subunit ribosomal RNA". Lineage: Bacteria; Pseudomonadati; Pseudomonadota; Gammaproteobacteria; Enterobacterales; Enterobacteriaceae. The record is from RNAcentral.
GGUUAAGCGACUAAGCGUACACGGUGGAUGCCCUGGCAGUCAGAGGCGAUGAAGGACGUGCUAAUCUGCGAAAAGCGUCGGUAAGGUGAUAUGAACCGUUAUAGCCGGCGAUGUCCGAAUGGGGAAACCCAGUGUGAUUCGUCACACUAUCGUUAACUGAAUACAUAGGUUAACGAGGCGAACCGGGGGAACUGAAACAUCUAAGUACCCCGAGGAAAAGAAAUCAACCGAGAUUCCCCCAGUAGCGGCGAGCGAACGGGGAGCAGCCCAGAGUCUGAAUCAGCUUGUGUGUUAGUGGAACGGUCUGGAAAGUCCGACGGUACAGGGUGAUAGUCCCGUACACCAAAAUGCACAGGCUGUGAACUCGAAGAGUAGGGCGGGACACGUGGUAUCCUGUCUGAAUAUGGGGGGACCAUCCUCCAAGGCUAAAUACUCCUGACUGACCGAUAGUGAACCAGUACCGUGAGGGAAAGGCGAAAAGAACCCCGGCGAGGGGAGUGAAAAAGAACCUGAAACCGUGUACGUACAAGCAGUGGGAGCACCUUCGGGUGUGACUGCGUACCUUUUGUAUAAUGGGUCAGCGACUUAUAUUCUGUAGCAAGGUUAACCGUAUAGGGGAGCCGCAGGGAAACCGAGUCUUAACUGGGCGUUAAGUUGCAGGGUAUAGACCCGAAACCCGGUGAUCUAGCCAUGGGCAGGUUGAAGGUUGGGUAACACUAACUGGAGGACCGAACCGACUAAUGUUGAAAAAUUAGCGGAUGACUUGUGGCUGGGGGUGAAAGGCCAAUCAAACCGGGAGAUAGCUGGUUCUCCCCGAAAGCUAUUUAGGUAGCGCCUCGUGAAUUCAUCUUCGGGGGUAGAGCACUGUUUCGGCUAGGGGGUCAUCCCGACUUACCAACCCGAUGCAAACUACGAAUACCGAAGAAUGUUAUCACGGGAGACACACGGCGGGUGCUAACGUCCGUCGUGAAGAGGGAAACAACCCAGACCGCCAGCUAAGGUCCCAAAGUCAUGGUUAAGUGGGAAACGAUGUGGGAAGGCACAGACAGCCAGGAUGUUGGCUUAGAAGCAGCCAUCAUUUAAAGAAAGCGUAAUAGCUCACUGGUCGAGUCGGCCUGCGCGGAAGAUGUAACGGGGCUAAACCAUGCACCGAAGCUGCGGCAGCGACACUAUGUGUUGUUGGGUAGGGGAGCGUUCUGUAAGCCUGCGAAGGUGUGCUGUGAGGCAUGCUGGAGGUAUCAGAAGUGCGAAUGCUGACAUAAGUAACGAUAAAGCGGGUGAAAAGCCCGCUCGCCGGAAGACCAAGGGUUCCUGUCCAACGUUAAUCGGGGCAGGGUGAGUCGACCCCUAAGGCGAGGCCGAAAGGCGUAGUCGAUGGGAAACAGGUUAAUAUUCCUGUACUUGGUGUUACUGCGAAGGGGGGACGGAGAAGGCUAUGUUAGCCGGGCGACGGUUGUCCCGGUUUAAGCAUGUAGGCUGGUUGUCCAGGCAAAUCCGGAUAAUCAAGGCUGAGGUGUGAUGACGAGGCACUACGGUGCUGAAGUAACAAAUGCCCUGCUUCCAGGAAAAGCCUCUAAGCAUCAGGUAACAUCAAAUCGUACCCCAAACCGACACAGGUGGUCAGGUAGAGAAUACCAAGGCGCUUGAGAGAACUCGGGUGAAGGAACUAGGCAAAAUGGUGCCGUAACUUCGGGAGAAGGCACGCUGGUGUGUAGGUGAAGUCCCUGCGGAUGGAGCUGAGACCAGUCGAAGAUACCAGCUGGCUGCAACUGUUUAUUAAAAACACAGCACUGUGCAAACACGAAAGUGGACGUAUACGGUGUGACGCCUGCCCGGUGCCGGAAGGUUAAUUGAUGGGGUUAUCCGUAAGGAGAAGCUCUUGAUCGAAGCCCCGGUAAACGGCGGCCGUAACUAUAACGGUCCUAAGGUAGCGAAAUUCCUUGUCGGGUAAGUUCCGACCUGCACGAAUGGCGUAAUGAUGGCCAGGCUGUCUCCACCCGAGACUCAGUGAAAUUGAACUCGCUGUGAAGAUGCAGUGUACCCGCGGCAAGACGGAAAGACCCCGUGAACCUUUACUAUAGCUUGACACUGAACAUUGAGCCUUGAUGUGUAGGAUAGGUGGGAGGCUUUGAAGCGUGGACGCCAGUCUGCGUGGAGCCAACCUUGAAAUACCACCCUUUAAUGUUUGAUGUUCUAACGUUGGCCCCUUACCGGGGUUGCGGACAGUGUCUGGUGGGUAGUUUGACUGGGGCGGUCUCCUCCCAAAGCGUAACGGAGGAGCACGAAGGUUAGCUAAUCCUGGUCGGACAUCAGGAGGUUAGUGCAAUGGCAUAAGCUAGCUUGACUGCGAGCGUGACGGCGCGAGCAGGUGCGAAAGCAGGUCAUAGUGAUCCGGUGGUUCUGAAUGGAAGGGCCAUCGCUCAACGGAUAAAAGGUACUCCGGGGAUAACAGGCUGAUACCGCCCAAGAGUUCAUAUCGACGGCGGUGUUUGGCACCUCGAUGUCGGCUCAUCACAUCCUGGGGCUGAAGUAGGUCCCAAGGGUAUGGCUGUUCGCCAUUUAAAGUGGUACGCGAGCUGGGUUUAGAACGUCGUGAGACAGUUCGGUCCCUAUCUGCCGUGGGCGCUGGAGAAUUGAGGGGGGCUGCUCCUAGUACGAGAGGACCGGAGUGGACGCAUCACUGGUGUUCGGGUUGUCAUGCCAAUGGCACUGCCCGGUAGCUAAAUGCGGAAGAGAUAAGUGCUGAAAGCAUCUAAGCACGAAACUUGCCCCGAGAUGAGUUCUCCCUGAGACUUUAAGUCUCCUGAAGGAACGUUGAAGACGACGACGUUGAUAGGCCGGGUGUGUAAGCGCAGCGAUGCGUUGAGCUAACCGGUACUAAUGAACCGUGAGGCUUAACCUU